AUGAUGAGGAACAGUAAAAUUUAUGGUUAGAAAACAUAUGAUUAACCGUGAUUAUCAAUUUACUAGGGCGGACUGAUUAA
RNAcentral lists this small nucleolar RNA (80 nucleotides) under Drosophila busckii. RNAcentral describes it as "small nucleolar RNA U43". It matches the Rfam family "Small nucleolar RNA U43". Lineage: Eukaryota; Metazoa; Arthropoda; Insecta; Diptera; Drosophilidae. The record is from Rfam by way of RNAcentral.